GCCUAGGGAGGCAGCAGUGAGGAAUAUUGGUCAAUGGGCGCGAGCCUGAACCAGCCAAGUAGCGUGAAGGAUGACUGCCCUACGGGUUGUAAACUUCUUUUAUAAAGGAAUAAAGUGAGGCACGUGUGCCUUUUUGUAUGUACUUUAUGAAUAAGGAUCGGCUAAUUCCUGCCAAGCGCCCGCGGUAUUCCGGGGGUUCCGGGGUUUAUCGGGAUGUUUUGGGUUUAAAGGGGGCGUAGAUGGGUUGUGAAGUCAGUGGUGAAAGUUGCCGGCUCAACGGUAAAAUUGCAAUUGAUACUGGCAGUCUUGAGUACAGUUGAGGUAGGCGGAAUUCGUGGUGUAGCGGUGAAAUGCGUAGAUAUCACGAAGAACUCCGAUUGCGAAGGCAGCUUACUAAACUGCCACUGACAUUGAUGCUCGAAAGUGUGGGUAUCAAACGGGAUUAGAUACCCGGGUAGUC
Molecule: ribosomal RNA, 460 nt
Filed under: uncultured bacterium
Lineage: Bacteria
Description: partial 16S ribosomal RNA
Rfam family: Bacterial small subunit ribosomal RNA
Source: RNAcentral